GUCCUCCACUUGCUCACAUUCUUCUUGAAUUAUUGCAAGAAAGAGAUAAGAAAAGAAACCAAGACCAUGUGCUUUGCCCUCUCUGGGGACAUCAGGAAAGCCAUAGUCAACUCCAAACAUCCUUGGACGAGUUUCACCCACCAGUCUGUAGUACCAUUUCAUAUUAGCCCACCUACAAAUUAGGACUGAACUGUGAGGCUUCAAAUUUUCAUUGUCUCUAGCCAAGAGAGAAUGUAAAAUGGCUUCAUCAGGUGCAGCAAAGAAGCACUUCAGAAUCCACCCAUAACUCAACAGACACAAAGUAAAUGUAUUCAAUAAAUAUUUUAUUUUGACACAUAGUA
This is a long non-coding RNA of Manacus vitellinus (golden-collared manakin), 341 nucleotides long. RefSeq lists it as uncharacterized. The transcript is spliced from 2 exons. Lineage: Eukaryota; Metazoa; Chordata; Aves; Passeriformes; Pipridae. The record is from RefSeq and is a predicted model, not a curated record.